AGGAUAUCCACUUUGUUGGCCUAUAAGAUCCCAAUGGAAGAUGCCCUGCCUCUCUCUAGAGCCUUUGCCAUGCUGGAAGAAGCUAAACAGCACUUCAGUCUUGAAGAGUACAGCUUUUCUUUGAACACUUUGGAACAGGUAUUUCUGGAACUGUGCAAAGAACAUGAGCGAGAUUAUUUUGAAUCGGGUCCAACUUCUGAAUGGAGAGAACUGUAGCAUCAACAAGAUAGUUGAAAGACUGAUCAACAACCAAGGCAAACACCAGUUUCUUUCACCAAGAAAAAUGGAGGGCAAAUAGGUUGAGCACUCUGAGGAAUGUUGUGCCUGGACAUCCCCUGGGAAAAGAUAUUCUGUAAUCUUCUCUAUGUUUAACAAGUAUGCCUAGUUGUCUGUUAGAAAGAUUAACCCUCAUAUUUAUCAUAUCUAGAGAUAUAACAUUUUUGAAUAUUUCACAACUAACAGCAAAACAAAUGUUUCUGCACUAUUUUGUUUUCAUGAGAAAAAUGAAAUGGAAAUAUAUAUAUAUAUUUUAAAAUAUGUAUUGUUUAUAGCCUAGCACACAAACAUGUAUAGAUGGUAUUUUUAAUCAGAAUAUGUUAAUAUUUUUAAUUUAAAUAACAAGUCAAUGUAUAUCCAGUGUUUAUUGGGUGGAUAAAUAAACACCCAUACUCUAAAUACUUAUGUAUUGUUGCCAUCCUCAUCUUCCAUAUUAAUAAAUAGUAAUACAGCUGACCCAAUUAACUAUUGUACCGGGAGCCAUUAAAUAUCAUCACAAA
This is a non-coding RNA of Notechis scutatus (mainland tiger snake), 776 nucleotides long. The record is from RefSeq and is a predicted model, not a curated record. NCBI's taxonomy places the organism in Eukaryota, Metazoa, Chordata, Lepidosauria, Squamata, Elapidae.